AAACUAACAAGGAUUUCCCUAGUAGUGGCGAACGACCGGGAAUUAGCCCAGCACCGAAUCCUGUAUGUUUCAUACUAGGAAUUGUGGUGUAAAGGUUGUAUCUUUAGUGGGUGGCGCAUGCUCCAAAUUCACUUGAUUGUGAUGUUGUCCAGAGAGGGUGUUAGACCCGUUGAAGUGUGCUAGCUCAUUAUUGGUGCUUCCUAUGAGUCGGAUUGUUUGAGAAUGCAGUCCAAAUUGGGUGGUAAACUCCAUCUAAGGCUAAAUACUUGUAUGAGUCCGAUAGCAAACAAGUACCGUGAGGGAAAGUUGAAAAGAACUUUGAAGAGAGAGUUAAAUAGUACGUGAAAUCGCUUAGAGGUAAACGAGUGGAGCCGAAAAAGUCGUAUGGGAUUCAGUUGCGUGUGCGAUGACAAUUGAUUUAGUGACAACCACAAAUGGCAUCAUUGAAUUGAUUAGUUGUUGUGCAUACAAUGCACUUUCUGUUCGAUCAAACUGUGACCAAUAGAGUUGUUUCAAUAUCGUGAUGGUGAAGGUGACCAGUUGCUUGCGAUUGGUUUUAUAGCUCAUUACAUGUUGAAAUAAUGUAUUGGUAAAUAGGCAAUCAGUUAACGUUGGCAAUCCGUUAUCAGUAUGGUUUCGUAGUGGACUACAUGUAGACUAUUAUGAAAAUGUAUCGGUAUUGGGUUGUUGAUAGAUUGAUUUAAAGUCACAGUAUAAUGUAGGUUAUCUACUCGUCCCGUCUUGAAACACGGACCAAGGAGUUUUAUAUGAUCGCGAGUCAAAGGGCUAUACGAAACCCCAGGGCGCAAUUAAUGUAAAGGUUUACUUUAGUAAGAUCUGUGAUAUGACCUGACAUUGAAUGUCAGUGCAAUAUCGACCCGUCUAAAGAUGUUCGCAUCUGGGCGGAGUUUGAGCGAUCAUGUAGAGACCCGAAAGAUGGUGAACUAUGCUUGUGCAGGUUUGAAGUCAGAGGAAACUCUGAUGGAGGACCGCCGCGGUUCUGACGUGCAAAUCGAUCGUCGGACAUGAGUAUAGGGGCGAAAGACUAAUCGAACCAUCUAGUAGCUGGUUCCCUCCGAAGUUUCCCUCAGGAUAGCUGGCGUUUGUUGUCGUAGUUUGACCUGGUAAAGCGAAUGAUUAGAAGUAUUGGGGGCGAAAUGCCCUCAACUUAUUCUCAAACUUUAAAUGGGUUCGAUGUAUGACUCGCUUCAUUGGAGUUAUACGUUGAAUACGAAUGCCUAGUGGGCCAUUUUUGGUAAGCAGAACUGGCGAUGUGGGAUGAACCAAACAUCUGGUUAAGGUGCCUAACAUCACGCUCAUGAGAACCCACAAAAGGUGUUGGUUGAUAAAGACAGCAGGACGGUGGACAUGGAAGUCGUCAUCCGCUAAGGAGUGUGUAACAACUCACCUGCCGAAUCAACCAGCCCUGAAAAUGGAUGGCGCUGUAGCGUGAGACCUAUACCGGAUCGAUAUCGUAUAAUUUAAUAUGUAAACGGUAUCGUGUAGGAGGGUGCCGUGGUUGCUAUAAAAGGGGCUGGCGUGAGUCCAGAGUGGAGCGGCCACCGGGUACAGAUUCUUGGUAGUAGUAGCA
This 1591-nucleotide ribosomal RNA is filed under the name Notogynaphallia sp. MR-2006. Its description in RNAcentral is "eukaryotic LSU rRNA". It matches the Rfam family "Eukaryotic large subunit ribosomal RNA", at positions 62 to 1465 of the family's 3401-position model. Lineage: Eukaryota; Metazoa; Platyhelminthes; Tricladida; Geoplanidae. The record is from RNAcentral.